GAUGAACGCUGGCGGCGUGCCUAAUACAUGCAAGUCGAGCGAACAGACGAGGAGCUUGCUCCUCUUACGUUAGCGGCGGACGGGUGAGUAACACGUGGAUAACCUACCUAUAAGACUGUGAUAACUUCGGGAAACCGGAGCUAAUACCGGAUAAUAUAUUGAACCGCAUGGUUCAAUAGUGAAAGACGGUUUUGCUGUCACUUAUAGAUGGAUCCGCGCCGCAUUAGCUAGUUGGUAAGGUAACGGCUUACCAAGGCAACGAUGCGUAGCCGACCUGAGAGGGUGAUCGGACACACUGGAACUGAGACGCGGUCCAGAUUCCUACGGGAGGCAGCAGUAGGGAAUCUUCAGCAAUGGGCGAAAGCCUGACGGAGCAACGCCGCGUGAGUGAUGAAGGUCUUCGGAUCGUAAAACGCUGUUAUUAGGGAAGAACAAAUGUGUAAGUAACUAUGCACGUCUUGACGGUACCUAAUCAGAAAGCCACGGCUAACUACGUG
RNAcentral lists this ribosomal RNA (497 nucleotides) under uncultured bacterium. RNAcentral describes it as "partial 16S ribosomal RNA". It matches the Rfam family "Bacterial small subunit ribosomal RNA", at positions 28 to 507 of the family's 1533-position model. The record is from RNAcentral.